GCGGAUGGCUGGAUGGCCGCGGGCGGCAAAGCUCGAGGAAAGUCCGGACUCCAUGAAGCAACGGCGCCGGGUAACGCCCGGCCGGCGUAAGCCGAGGGACAGCGCCACAGAAAUCAAACCGCCGGCGGCAGGCGGUAAGGGUGAAACGGUGGGGUAAGAGCCCACCGCGGGACUGGCAACAGGACCGGCACGGCAAGCCCCACCGGGAGCAAUGCCAAAUAGGGGCCUCGCGCGGCUUGUCCGCGGGUGGUUUCAGCCCGAAGGCCCGGGUUGGCAGCUAGAACCUGUUGGUAACAACGGGUCCAGAUGAAUGGUCAUCGAACCGUGGAAACACGGGGAACAGAAUCCGGCUUACAGGCUAUCCGCGCAU
RNAcentral lists this RNase P RNA (370 nucleotides) under Boseongicola sp. RNAcentral describes it as "RNase P RNA component class A". It matches the Rfam family "Bacterial RNase P class A". From Rfam's summary of the family: Ribonuclease P (RNase P) is a ubiquitous endoribonuclease, found in archaea, bacteria and eukarya as well as chloroplasts and mitochondria. Its best characterised activity is the generation of mature 5'-ends of tRNAs by cleaving the 5'-leader elements of precursor-tRNAs. Lineage: Bacteria; Pseudomonadati; Pseudomonadota; Alphaproteobacteria; Rhodobacterales; Paracoccaceae. The record is from RNAcentral.